GUCCUAGUAGUAUAACUAUUACAGUGGUCUUGUAAACCACCAAUGGAAAAACCUUUCCCUAGGACA
This 66-nucleotide transfer RNA is filed under the name Chrysochloris asiatica (Cape golden mole). RNAcentral's name for it is "transfer RNA-Thr". The record is from RNAcentral. Lineage: Eukaryota; Metazoa; Chordata; Mammalia; Afrosoricida; Chrysochloridae.